CAUCACCAGUGACUGAACAAAAAAGCAACAAUAAAGUCAUCUUUUACUGCUACGUGUUCUCAUAUGAACGCUGUAGGCAUUCAGUGGAGUGGGUCUACGAGGGUAAAGAGAAUAUAUCCUCAGUCAUGGAGAUUUCAUCAUGUUCCUGUAAUUCCAAUCUGACAUUUGCAACAUCUCACUUUAAUCAGAAGUCAAUUUUGUCUGAAUUACUGAUUGUAAGGUGUAAAGUGACAGAUGAAGACACUAAAAGCAUGCAGCUGUUUCCCUUCAGCCCUCCGUCCUUGGGUGAGAAAACUUAAAAACUGUAAUUGACCUCAAACUGUUGCUUAUAAUUAAACUAAAUAUGCGCCCAUGUGUUCCAGGUUUGUCAUGGUGGUACGUUUAUAUGACUGUGGGUUUAGCAGCACUCUUAAUUAUCAUAGUGAUCAUCUCAUGGAAGAAAAUGAAAGGAAAUAAAGAACAAAUGGAAGAAAAUAAAGAACUAAGCUUAAACCCCGAAGAGGCUCAGUCUGGUUCAGGAACCAGUCACAACACUGCUGAACCUGACGACAGUGUUUCUUAUGCCACCAUCAGCUUUGCCAAGCUUUGCCAGAAUAAAGCUGGGGUAAGAUCUGUAAUCGGUUACAGUGAAGAUGUUAGGAUCCAAAUCAUAACUAUCAAAUCGUCUGACACGUAUGAUUAAUUAAGGUAGGAAUUUAUUAUUCACGUUUUCUUUAAGGUACCCUGUAAUGGUGCAGAUGAUACUGUGACAUACAGCACUGUGAAUGCUUCCUUCUCUUCUGCUGGAUAGUCUUCUUCAGGUGACCUCUAUUCCAUCAUCAACAAACCAAAGAAAUAUACGAAUGGAUUAUGAUUUCUUUUCUUGUGCACUCUUAUACAUGAAGCCACUGAGAUAGCAGAGACUCCCUCUAGAGGUGGAGAGGGUGAAAAUAUUCCCAGAUUGAAGCUUCAAUAAAAUGACAUACUUAUGUGAAAUGGAUAUUUCAUUUACCUGGGAGUACAAAAGGCUGAGGAUUCUUCACUUGUGGGGGGACUCGUUGAUUCGAACAGACUGUGUAGGCCGUCCCUCCUGCCUCUGCUUUUGUACCACUGCAUUUUGAGCCUCUCUUUUUGAGUUGCUGCCUUUGAGAUGAUUAGUGUUCUUGUGUUAUUUGAAUAUAUGAGAGUUGUUUUUUUGUUUGUUUAAAUUGCCUCAUUGCCUAAUGAGUCAUUUCACUAACGGUUUUCAGUUCUGGUAAUAAACUUUGUGUUUUUUGACCGUCCUGUCUCUGGGCUCAUUUGUGUUACCUCCCCUUU
This 1296-nucleotide long non-coding RNA is filed under the name Oreochromis niloticus (Nile tilapia). RNAcentral describes it as "lncRNA (ENSONIG00000038529.1)". Lineage: Eukaryota; Metazoa; Chordata; Actinopteri; Cichliformes; Cichlidae. The record is from RNAcentral.